RNAcentral lists this long non-coding RNA (229 nucleotides) under Salvia miltiorrhiza (redroot sage). RNAcentral's name for it is "long non-coding RNA (SMIL_LNC009577)". The record is from RNAcentral. Lineage: Eukaryota; Viridiplantae; Streptophyta; Magnoliopsida; Lamiales; Lamiaceae.
AGCGCAAGAAAUAUCAACAGGCACUUUACAAUCUAAGGUUGAUGGUGCUAGAGCCAAAAGCUCUCAAUGAAUUUCUGCGUCUAUACACCCUAUAUGUCCAUAUGGGGGAAGUGGAAGAUCAGACGGCCAUGGACCUUUUCUUUCCAAAGCUUCCAAGUCCAUGGAGGGAAAUGCUCAUCAAUGAGUAUGUUUCACCAGGAGGAUAUCCACUUGACAGUGCUUCGAGGAG